GGUUAAGCGACUAAGCGUACACGGUGGAUGCCCUGGCAGUCAGAGGCGAUGAAGGACGUGCUAAUCUGCGAUAAGCGUCGGUGAGGUGAUAUGAACCGUUAUAACCGGCGAUUUCCGAAUGGGGAAACCCAGUGUGUUUCGACACACUAUCAUUAACUGAAUCCAUAGGUUAAUGAGGCGAACCGGGGGAACUGAAACAUCUAAGUACCCCGAGGAAAAGAAAUCAACCGAGAUUCCCCCAGUAGCGGCGAGCGAACGGGGAGGAGCCCAGAGCCUGAAUCAGUGUGUGUGUUAGUGGAAGCGUCUGGAAAGGCGUGCGAUACAGGGUGACAGCCCCGUACACAAAAAUGCACAUAUUGUGAGCUCGAUGAGUAGGGCGGGACACGUGGUAUCCUGUCUGAAUAUGGGGGGACCAUCCUCCAAGGCUAAAUACUCCUGACUGACCGAUAGUGAACCAGUACCGUGAGGGAAAGGCGAAAAGAACCCCGGCGAGGGGAGUGAAAAAGAACCUGAAACCGUGUACGUACAAGCAGUGGGAGCCUCUUAAUGGGGUGACUGCGUACCUUUUGUAUAAUGGGUCAGCGACUUAUAUUCUGUAGC
RNAcentral lists this ribosomal RNA (600 nucleotides) under Escherichia coli. Its description in RNAcentral is "partial 23S ribosomal RNA". It matches the Rfam family "Bacterial large subunit ribosomal RNA", at positions 1 to 641 of the family's 2925-position model. Lineage: Bacteria; Pseudomonadati; Pseudomonadota; Gammaproteobacteria; Enterobacterales; Enterobacteriaceae. The record is from RNAcentral.